This 15422-nucleotide long non-coding RNA is filed under the name Solanum lycopersicum (tomato). RNAcentral describes it as "long non-coding RNA (SLYC_LNC000702)". The record is from RNAcentral. Lineage: Eukaryota; Viridiplantae; Streptophyta; Magnoliopsida; Solanales; Solanaceae.
UCGAAGCUACAGAAUUUCAGUUCGCCGCUGCGGAAGCUCCAUAGCCAAACUCCUUCCGCCGCAGCGUUCUUAUUCAGAAAUUCUCUUGCUCCGACUCCGAUCUCGAUAUCAUAAUAAGCAAUGGCUCGUUCUUUCUCUAACUCUAAGACUCUCUCUGCUUUCGUCUCCGACUCCGUUUCUGCUUUUCUCAGCAGGUAAUGAUCAUAACGUUCGUAAUAUGAAUCUAAACAGGAAAUAUUCAAAUUUUGAAAUCGGUGAACGUGAAUGUGUACCGCUGUUUCCGUUGAGUUUUUCGGUGUAAAUCUAAAAUUUUCUCAGCUAUAUUGCAUCUGAGUUAAAUUCUGUGGUUUUUUCACAGCAUUAUUUUAGAAUUAUGCUAUGCAUAACGAUAACAGGGGAUCGAAGUUCUCUGUUUUUCUUAGCUGGUAAUAACCGAAACAUCCGUUUAUCCCCUGGAUAAAAGGCGUUAGCAUACAACUUUUUUAAAUCAACAAGCGUGAUUGUCGCUGCACAUUUUGAACUUUUUCUUUUAUCAAUGUAAUAGUAUAUUUUAUACGUACUUGGAUUUUUUUUGUUCGUAGCAAAAACAGAGGAUUGUAUCGGCGGCUAAUUUGCUGUGAUGUGAAUGUGAAUUUUUUGUGUGUAUGUACAGGCGUGGAUAUGCAGCGGCAUCACAAGGUGCAGUUUCCGGUGUAGCAAAAGGAGUGCCAAGGAGCAACGUGAUGAUGCAAAAAAGUGGAGAGGAAUCGGUGAAGACUUCAUGGGUGCCAGAUCCAGUUACCGGUUACUAUAGGCCGGAAGGACAAGCAAAUGAGAUUGACGCUGCUGAGCUCCGGAAGAUGCUGUUGAAACACAGAUCUGGAAGCAACUGAAAAUCUUUGAAGCUGCGCCGUUGAUCUCCGGUUACUCAUCGGAGAUUUUCGAUCAACGAGAAAAGAGAAUUUAGUGAAGGAACUGUUUUAUCAGAAAAAUAUAGCAGUGUGAAAUUUACUCGUGCUUUGUUGCUUUUAAAUUUUAAGCUUAUUGUUAUAUCUUUCUUUUAUUAGUAUCUUUUAUUCAUGCAAAUGAAAUAAUUAUAGUAUUAGUGUUAAUCUUCGGGCUUUAGAUCCUAUUUUUUUCUUCUUUUUUUUUUGAAUUCUUCAAUCUCCAGGUUUACGUAUUUAUUUUUUGUUUCUUUUGGGAAAAUCUCAUAACAUUCUUGCAACUUUUUUUAAUCAAACUAAUGUUAUAAUCAUAUCUUAGUAUUUUUAAGAUUAUCAUCAAUAUAUUAAUAAAAUAAGUGAUAUUCAAAAGUUAUAUCAAAAGUAUUAUAAAUUAUAAUCUUUUAUAUAUUUAUAUUUUUAAAAUGUUAAUCAAAUUUUUUAUAAUUUUAACUCUAAAAAUAGAGAUCAUAACAAACAAUAAUGGAUAGAGGAAAUACAACAGAAAUAACAUAUACGUAAUAGAAAAGCAUGAUUUUUCUAAAUAAAUUAAAUAUUUAUUUUAUAGAAAUAAAAAAAUUGAAAGUAACUUUCUUUAUUACAAUUAUAGACGAUAUAAUACACAUAGGGGUUGUUUGGUACAAACAUUGAUAAUGCAUGGAUUAAUAAUGCAUGGAUUAGUAAUGUACGGAUUAAUAGUGCAAGGAUUAUUUUUUUGUAAAUGUUUGGUUCACUACUUUCUACCUAAUUUUGUCUUUAAUUUAUAAUUUUACAAAAAAAUUCUUUUCUAUUAUACCCUCGUAUUAUUAUGAGUGUUUAUUUCAUGUAAUUGGGUCAAGGUAAUAACCAUCGGACCGGAUAAUUUUUUGAAAGAAUUUUUUGUUUCAUUUAAUUAGUUAAAUCAUAUACAUAUAUACAAAAUUAUUAUUAAUUUUAAGGUAAGAUGUACCAUUAAGAGGAUCAAUGAUGGCACAAUAUACUUCUAAUUUUUUGUGGGUUAAGUAUAUAUCUUAAAUUUAACAUAGAUUAAGACUACUUAAAUUGUUAAUACCUAAAGCUUAUUUUUAUUUUUAUUUUUAUUUUUAAAACAAAUAGUUCAAGUGGUAAUUGACAAAUUAUCUUGAAUAUAAAAAUAAAAAAAAAUAAAGAAUUUUUUUUUAGUAAAAUCAUUAAAUUACACCAAACGAAUUUGGAGAAUUAAAAAGGAACAUUUAUAACCACUCCAAUACAAAUAAAAAGGAAAUUAAAUUACAAAAGAAAUAUAAAAAAAGAAUAAAGGGUUAGUUUAGUCAUUUAAGGAUCUUAUUCAGGGUUUAACAAACCUUGGAUUAGUUAUCCCUCCAUUUCCAAGGGAUAAGAUAACUCAUACGGAAAAUGGUCAAAAAUACCCUUGAACUAUUCGAAAUAGCUCAAAUAUACCUUUGAACUAUAUUUUCGCUCAAAAAUACCCUUCUCCUCAAACUAUAGGGUUAAAAAAUAAGACAACUUUCACAUAUAGCAAAUAAAAAAUUCAUAUUUGUAUGCUAUAGCAAAGUUUGCAUAAUGCGCUCCAUAGCAAACAUAUGAACUAUAUAAUUCGAUAUACAUAUACAGUUGAAGCAAAUUGUAUAAAACAAAUUGUAUAAAACAAGAAAGAGAAAGACACUUGGGCGGGGAAUUGUAUAAAAACGAAUUGUAUUAUUAUAAGUAUAUAGAAUGAUUAUAUACAAUUUGAAUUUGUAUAAAAUGAGAAAGAGAGAAAGACAAAAGAGACUUGACAAGGAAUAUACAAUUGAAUCGAGUUGUAUAAAACGAGAAAGAGAGAAAAUUAGAUACAAUUUGAAAAUUGUAUAAAACGAGAAAGAGAGAAAUGUAAAAGAAACUGGGCAUGGGAGUAUUUUUAUUGUAUAAAUAUAAGUGUAUAGGACGAAAAUAUAUGUACUUGCAUGUGUAUAUACAAUUUUCUCACGCUUUAUUCAAACAGAAACACAAUUUAUACAUUUCGCUCCUGUUUGUAUAAGUGAGAAAGGCGAGGGUGGCGAGCGAGAUCUGGAAGAGGGGAGAAAGGGGAAUAAAAAUAUAUGUAUUUUGUACAAUUUUCUCUGCUUUAUACAAUUAGAAACACUUUUUAUACACUUGUGUUUGUAUAAAAAGUGAGGAGGUGAGUGAGAGAUUGGAGGAGAGUGGCGAGCGAGAUAUUUGGGAGAGAGGCGUCUGACAAUUUUUUGCAAACGUUUGCUAUGGAACACAAUUAAUCAAAUCCUAGCUACUCCAUUUGUUUUAGAUUAUUAGUUUGCGAUUAUAUACAAUUUUCCCUAAAAAAUACCCUUCCCUUAGAACUUAUGUAUUCUGUGAACGUUCUAAGGAAAUUAAAGAAAUGAGGAAAAGGGGUUCUAUGUUCUUCAAUGAAAUUGUUUAUAAAUUCUAUGGAAAACGAAGAAAAUUGGGGGAAAUCAAGGAUAAGUUUAUUAGUCUACGUGCCAUGAGUGGAACUCUAUUGGCUCAUGUGGCAUGCCAUGUGACAUCCACAUGGCAUCUAAGUGACGUUUAACCGAUUCUGUUAAUGAGAAGGGUAUUUUUGAUCCAAUAGUUUGACAGUAAGAGUAUAUUUCAGCCGAAAUAUAGUUCAAGGAUAUAUUUAAGCUACUUCUGAUAGUUAAAAGAUAUUUUUGAUCAUAUUUUGUAUCACAUAUGAUGGAUAAGCAAUCCAUGGAUUUAAUUAAAUGAAGUAAACAAACAAUGUAUUAAUUGAAUUAAAUUUUAAUCCAUAAAUUAUUCUACCUAAUACCGUCUACAAAACGGAUCCAUAAUGUGCUUUAAAGUUAAACAUGUCAUAUGUAUUGGUAGGAGCAUUCAUGUCAUGUGUGAUGUUUGAAUUUUGAAGAUAAAAUAUUAUCUAACGAUUUAUUUAAUUUUAUUUAGACAUUAGAUAACAUACUGAUUGAGUAUUCAAUCAUAUUAUGAAAUAUUUUUUAAUUUAAAAUAUUAAAAAUUAUUUAAAGCUCUAUAUUCUUUAAGUGUUUAUUAAGUAGAUAAAUAAUAAAUAAAUUAAUCAUAAAGGUGAAUUAAUUAAGAGCCUAAUUAAAUAAAAUAUAUUGAAUAAAGCGUCAUCCGAUCUUCACAAUUCUUCCGUGUCUCAUCUGUUUUGGGAUGCAAAUCACUCAUUGAUUACUUAUAAAACAAAUACUAUCGUGUUCUACUUUUUUUUUUUUUAAAUAUUCGGGAUAUAAAUAAAAAAUAUUUUUAUAUAAUUAAAAUAAAUGUAAUAAAAAAUAGAGUUAAAAUAAAGGUGUAGAAUGAGGUGAUAACUUGUAACGAAAUGAAUAAUGUUACAUUUUUUAAAACCUUAUUUUAUUAAAGAAAGUAUUUUUCAAAAAUAUUAAUCGAAUCAAAUAUGAAAAAAUCAAAAUUUAUUUUUCACCACACCCUUAAUCAUACUUAAGUAUUAUAUUUUUUAUUAUUAUAUACCCUUUACUUUAUCGAUAUUAUUUUUAUCUUUAGCAUUAGAAAAUGGCCAACAAUAUGAUUUUGAAACGACAAGGGGACAUUGCAGUGACUUUAUAAUUAAAUUAAUCAAAGGCUAUACUCCCUGCUGUCCAUGUUAGUUGUUAUCAUAGUAUAAAAAUAAUAUUACUUUCAAUUAUUAAUCAAUUUAUAAAAUUAACUAUUUUCUUUUGGUUUUACUCUUACAAUUAUUUUUUUAUUUAUAAUUUCUUUUAAAGAAAGUAUAAAAAUAAACUGAACAACUAAUAUGAGACGGUGAAAAUUGCAGGUGUAUUGACUUGACUUAAUUAGGGCCAUUAAUCAUAUAAAGCACUAUUAACGUCUGAGAAUUAAUGUUGCCGUUGCUUACGCAAAGUUUAUUAAAGCAAUAAUUAGCCAUUAAAACAAUGCUACUAAUAAAGUAGAAUUACAUCUUUUUGUUCUUUGUAGACCUUAGCAGAGUUUGCGUUCACAUUACUUUUUUCUAAAAAUGAAUUCCGAUAAUUUGGUUGUUGGUUGGAAUUAUGUUUAGUAUUAAUAAUGUAAGAAUUUUAUAAUAGAGUUCAAUAAUUCAUAUAUUAAUUAUUCCACUUCUUAGCAUAAAAUAAUAUAAAUAUAACCUAUUGAUGUUUGUUAGGUAAAACAUAAAGAACAAGGUCCUAUAAGCAACAAAGAAAUGUUCUUCGUGGUGCAAAAAAGGUGGGAGCUCCCAGGAGGUUAAAAAAGUCGAAUCACAACGUCAGAUACAACAAAGGUAGGAACUUCUAGGGAGGGAGUUAAAAAAGUAGAAUCACAACGUCAGAUACAACAAAGGUAGGAGCUCACAGGAAGGGAGUUAAAAAAGUAAAAUCACAACGUCAGAUACAACAAAGGUAAGAGCUCACAGGAAGGGAGUUAAAAAAGUAAAAUCACAACGUCAGAUACAACAAAGGUAGGAGCUCACAGGAAGGGAGUUAAAAAAGUAAAAUCACAACGUCAGAUACAACAAAGGUACUCACAGGAAGGGAGUUAAAAAAGUCAAAUCACUACGUCAAAUACAACAAAGGUAGGAGCUCCCAAAGAGGGGGUUAAAAGGUCGAAUCACAACGUCAAAUACAACGAUCAGAGCAUGAAAGUAAAAUAAUGAAAUGUGAACCAUGAGAUGCACAAAUUCUUCACAAAAAGUCAUAAAUAUAGGUGAUGCAUUGCAUAUUUAUAUGAGAACUGUAGUGCAUGUCAUCAUCUGUUCCUUAGCUUCUCAAUUCUUUUUGUUUCACAUUUUGGCUUCUGAUUUAACAGAUUUCCGAGUACAAGCUAUAGAGAGCUUAAUGCAAUACGCGUGAUGGAAAAGAAUCUCGUUAUAAACAGCAAUUUCAAGAAUAUUUUGUAUCCAUGACAGAGCAAAGACGAAAUUGUAGAUAACAUAACGAUAAUGUAAAUGAACACAUGAGUUUUCGACUUUUUGUAUUGCAACUAUGAUGAGGAGGAAGGAGGAGAAUGACCAUUUCAGGCUUUCUGUACACUGCAACCAUGUCACCUGAUCUUUUCCAUGAGUUGCAAGUAUCUGCAAGCACUCAACAAAUAGAGUCAUGUAUUAGAUAUCUUCCUUCUAAUUUUCGAGGCAAUGCAGAAGUCAAAUACACUAUAAAGUGCCAUAGGUUGCUACAGAAGAGAAAGAGAAAGGGCAGAGGAAAUAAGCAGAUCUUGUGGCUGCAGGUCUGUCUCUCACACAAUGUACUAUACAAGUGCAUCAAAGGUUUUUAGUAUUGGACCAAAUAUUAUUUAUUUAGUUAUAGGUUUAUAUUUCUUACUUAUUGCAAUUUUAGUGAAUUAUUACACACGAAUUUAUUCGCUGCCUCGAAAGGAUUUCAGCCUCAGUUUACUGUUUGAUCAAACAGAGCCUCUCAGCAUAUACAAACUCUUAUUUUCCUAUUCAUACAUAUCGCUUCAAUGGUUUUUGUUGUCCUACAUGGAAUUCAUAUGUGUAUGACACCAUAACUCAACCCCAGAAUGUCUGCAACAAUCCAUUUUCUCAACCAAUGUGGGACAAUUACCACACCUGCACCAAUGCAUGUACAAUAUAACACAAGGAACCAACAUCGGGAAACCGAGAACAAGAAUAGAUCAAGCUCUGGUAUUAUGUGAAGAAAGUGGGUCUUGGGUCUAAUUUACACCCAGUGUAAGCUCAUGAGAUGAGGAUCUCUCAAGAUUAUAUAAAGAGAGAACAACCCAUUUAUUCAACCAAUGUAGGAUAGUUAAUAGUGUCAACCAUUAGCAAGCUUGGGUACAUACAAUUCCAGCAACCCCCCCCCUCACUUGAUGGCCAUGAUAUUCUUAUUAACAUUUCAUGCAAAAGAUUAGCCAACUACAUUAACCUCAACUGCUUGAUGGCACUAGUAAACUAAUAGCAAGCUUCUUAUUCUCUUGUUUUCAAACAAAGAACCUUCAGGAAGAAAUAGAGAUCCCUGUACUCAUGCUUUCAGCAAAAAAUCAUGGUCCAGACUCUGGUGAGUUGGUAGUUACCAGAUUUGUAAUGGCAGCAUCUCGUACAGUUGUGAAUUGUGAUUUUGAAAAAUGGCACCACAGUAGUAUGUACGAGUCAUAUUGUUGAAGCAUCAGUUACCGUCGUGGUGAACCAACAGCAGAAAUGUGUUCUAACUAGGAUGUAAAAACAGGGAAAGCUCUUGCAAACUUCAACUAUUAACUAGAAGCACCAAAGAGGGGAGAACACAAAAUUGAAAAGCAGUCUAUCGAGAGUCUAGUGCUGAUCAAUGCUUUAUUGCAUGUCUCAGAAUAAAGAUCCAUUUGGCCCUCGGGAAAGAUGCGUAAAGUAUGGAUGCUUAAGCUUGUAUAACUCUUCCCCUUCCAUGACAAAGAGAGAGGCUAGAGGGUGGGGCGUAACGAGCUCAAUAGAACUUUCUACGCCUAACAACGGAAAAAGAAGCUUUUUUAUUGUUUCACUCUCUAAGAAGAAUGAAAAAAAGAAAAGCUAACAUAAAUUGAGGGGAGGGUUCCAUUGCUUCAAACUUUCAUAUUAACGAAGAACGAAAAUUAACCUAGAAACUCUUAUAUGCAUGUACCAUAUGGCAAGUUCUCGGUAUAAGAUUUAGGACUACAUUUAUUCAGUGUUUGGCUGCAUGCAUUAGCUGAUACAAUAUAAAUUUUGUACAUAAUUGACUUAAUACAUAGUCAGCCCCUUACACUUGCCAAGAUACUUUAUUUAGAUACUCAAACUAAGUCUCUUCCAAUUGAACACCUCAACUCCUUAUAAAGAGUUCCCAUUAGACACUUUCGGUUUAAAUUUUGAACUUAAUUUGACAUUCUCUAUCGUUUAUUAGGUAGAUACAUUAACCACAUAAAAUAUGUCAUUUACUUUAAUUAUAUACACUUGCCUCAAAAAGUCAUAAACCUCAGGCGUUUCCUACUUGAGGUUGAUGCAUAUAAUUAAAGGAAAUAAUAUAUAUUAUGUGGUUAAGUUAACUACCUAAAUAGACAAAUGAAAACAUGCGUUAAGUUUUUCCGAAAUUUAAAAGGAAGUGUCUAAUUGGGACAUCUUAUUUGGAGUUGGGCUGUUCAAUUGGAAUAUGACUCCGUUCGAGUGUCUAAAUGGAAUAUUCUGACAAGUAUAAGGGGUUAUCUAUAUAUUAAGCCUAAUAUUAUUCCGUACCAUAAGGGAUGUGGGAUUAUAAUCCGAAGAUAACUUGCUCCAAACCAAUCGACCCUUGGGUGUUUGAGCAAUAUACCUCAGGGCUUUGAUCUUACGGUGAGAGAGCAUCCUAUCUAAAAUCCUUGAAUCAUUGAAUAAGGGGAUAUAGACGCAGCCCAUGCUUUAUUUGAUCAACUAAGAUAAGGUCUAGGACCAUAUGUUCUUUUCCAAAUAAUAGCACAUGAUAUGUCUGAGUUAUUAUGCACAAGUUUGAACCCUCUCAAAAGCCUUAAGCCUUGUAAUUAAGUUGAGAGAAGUAGAAAGGUGGCUUUACUGAUAAUAUGGACUCACAAACAAAAUAAUUCAAUAGAAAGAACUCUAGCAAAUCUGGCCCAAUGUUCUAACAUAAAAAUUCUUGUAGCAUCCUCUUGAUAAAAAAAUCACCACAAAGGGAAGACUACUUUCUCUUGACCCGUUAAAUUUUUUAAACAUGGUUAAAUACAUAUACAUGGUCUCUUCUUGUAGUUUCACAUGUAAGGUCAAUGUAGAGAUGAUUUCACUUCGCUUUUAGUCCUUUUCAAAGUUGUCAUUCACUUCUCCUUACCCCGUCCCCUUUUUAACUGUUUGUUUCUCUCCACCAGUUAAAAUGUAACCUACUUCCAUACUAAAAUAUCUUAAACAUGAACGAGAAUAAUACAUCAGAAUACAAUUUGACCAUGUUUUCUCUAAAAAAUCACAUAAUUGUAACUCUCUUAUUAUUCAAAAUGUGUCUUGUUAAACAAAGAUGGGCAUGUAUUGUGGAUUUUCUGUCAUCAAAGAUAGGUCUUAGAUCAAGCUCUUCUUCUGGUUCUUUUUCCUUAUCUUUAUUCUAUUAUGUUGAAUUCUUUCAUUUAGUUUCAGGCCGCGAAAUUUAAGAGCGAUAACUAAUAGACUGCGAACUUAUCAGAUGUUUAAUACUUUUCUUGAUAAGUGACAGUUUUAUUUAUUUGAUUAAGAUGCAAAGCUUCAAGAAUAUUCUCCAACUGUUAACAAUGUCAACCUAAACCAUACACAUACUCAUGAAAUUUGUAAUGCUUCACCACAAAUUGAAGAAUUAAACAUCUGAUAAAUUCAUAAAUUGAAUCAAGUAUAAGUCAGUGAGCAACCAAGUAGUAGCAUAUAUUCAGAAAUAUUCAAAAACUGGAACUAACCUCUUUCAGUAAACUCAGGCUCCAUCAUCCUUCUGUGUGCAGCUAAACAGAAGAGACAAGGUUACUGUUUCGAAUCUUUAGAAUAUGUCCAUUGCUAUUGCAAUUCAAUCCACAUCCACAUUGUGGACAAACCAAGAAAUUGUAAGUGGGAAAGCUAGCCGAAGCAAUUCCAACAGAGAACUCAAGAUUGUCACCAUUCUUAACAACCUCCACAAUAUUCAGCCACAGAAACAGAAUUUUUACACUAACCCCAUGUAGGCUUGACAGCCUAUUUUUAGCUAUGUACCCACCGAAUCUCGAUUGAUACCUAAGCUGAUAAGACCCUUCUAAUGCGAAACUGCAAGACCCACUAAGAUGUACACUGAAUUUUCCGGUGUCCUUAUCGAGAUCGUACCCAAUAGCACCCUGUGGAAGAAUUCCGACGGGGAAGCCGUAGCUUACGAGUAAGUCGUAAGCAGUGAGGGAAGUGCCACCGUUUACGGCGUCGGCGUCGCCGGUAGCUGCAGCGGCGGUGACUAACGGCGGUAGAGUUGUAAGGAAGAGGAUUAAGAGAGGAAAAGCGAGGGUAACGGCGAUCUGACGUGGAGAAAACAUUGAGGCUACCGUUUUUUGUGAUGAUUUUCGUAUCAAAUGGAUAUUCAGAUGCGAUUACUCCGAUGAUGCGCCGACGAUAUGUAUAAUUGACUUUGGGGAAGUUUCAAUUAUUGCAGAAGAUGACAGAAAAAAAAUUAUUUCGACGUUGGUAUCUUGCAUUGCAUAAUAUUUAUUCCCACCGGUUCCGAUUUAUAUGGUUGAUUUGAUGCAAUAUUUAUUUGAACUGAAUUUUUUUAAUUUCUUUAAUCUACAUCUUUAUUGAAGUAUAAAUAUAAAAAUUAUUUCAUCAAUAAUAAACAGAAAUUAAAAUUAUAAACUUUUUUUUAACAUAUAUAAUUUAAUUUUUGAAUAUCAAAGUAUUAAUAUUUCAAAAUUUGACGAAUAAUAUAUGCAUACUAUUAAGAUAGUACCGAAUAUAUUUUUGUUCUUUUUUCCAUAUCUAAUGCACACAAUACAAGUUAUGAUGACAUAUCGAUGUAUUUUGAUUUAAUUUAAUUAUAAAAUAAUCAAUUUGUAUACAUGUUAAAUUGUUAUGAAGUUGUUAAAAUAUUGACUUAUUAAUUAUUAAUUUAUUAAUUAUUAAUCAUUAUAGAUUCAGUUAUUAAUUUAAAAGGUGAUAAAUCAUAUAAAUGAAUAGAUUAUAUCUUGCUCAAAAACCAACACUGACACAAAUAUAUUUUCUUAACGUACUAUUAGAUUAUUGAUUAAUCCGCUCAAAAUAAAUUAUCUAAUAAAAAAAUUUAUUGAAAUGCUAAACCAAUAAAUUAAACAACUUUUUUAGAUUAUCAGUUUCGAGUAAACACUUUUAAUUAAGGAUGGAUAUAAUUAUCGAAAAAUUAAAUCGAAUUAGGAUUCCAAAUUGAAAUCGUCAAUGUGCUUAACAGAAAUUUUUAUUUCAAACUCCACAAGUAGAAAAAGUAGCACUACUACUGCAUAGAUGAAGCUCCACAGAAGAUACAUGACAAAAUACAUAUUCAUUCCAAAGGAGCAUAAAAAAACAUAUGCUUCCAGUUCCGUGGGAUUCUGAAAAUACGAACUUACCCUAAUUCCAAAAUGGACCAUACAUUUCAUCUUAAUUUUCAUCCUAAAACAUCUUAAUCUACAGUCGAUUUCUGAAAAUUUACGAUUCAAGACGAAGUGAUAAGCAGCUUCAAAUCGAACUUACCUGUGCCAUUUUCUCCAGAAUUGACACAAUCAAAUCCACAUCCACACUGUGGCGAUUCAUAGAAGUUAUCAAUUGCAAAAUCAGCAGAAGCAAUACCGACGGAGAAAUCGAGAUCGUCGCCGUCACGAGUAACUUCGACAAUAUUAAUCCAAAACAAAAGCACUUUCACCUGUACGCCUUUCAAGUUCGCAAGUCGAUCCUUAGAGAUUUUACCAGUAAUUUUACUCAUAUACUUGAGAUUAUAGCCGCUUAUGCUGAAACUGCACGAUUUGUUAAAGUAAACGGCGAAAUUGCCCGUUGUUUUGUCGAGUUCGUACCUUGUUACGCCCUUCGGAAGUAUCCCUACCGGAAAGUCGUAUUCCUGAAGAAUCUCAUACGCCGUCGGGGACUGAGAAUCCUCAUCGCCGACGACCGGUGAAGCUGCAGAGAGUUGGAGUAGGAGUAGGAGGAUGCAUAAGGGAAGGGCUACAGAAGGCAUAUCUUGUUCGUAGUUACCGAAAACAAAUUUACUUGAAAUUUGAUAUAUUACUCUUAUUUAUUAUUGAGGGGCUUGAAUUUGAAAUUUGUACUAUUCAGUUGUUCUCUGGUGUGCUGGAAAGCGUUGGUUAAAUGUGGAAGAACGUGGAAAUAAGUUACUUUAGAAUUAUUUCAUAAUUAAAAUGAAAAUAAUGUUGCUAUUUCAAAAUAAUAAAUUAUCGAAAAAAUUUCUAAAAACCUUUAAAAUUUCUUCUUCUUUUUUUUUUAAUGUAAAGCUAUUAAUAUUGUAUUUGAUUCAGUAUUUAAUAUAUUCGAGUUAUUAUAUAUUUAAUUUAUUUUAUAAUAUAAAAUCGAAUUAAUUUUUAAUGUAUUCAAGCUAUAUAUUAUAUAUUCAAUUUAUGUUAUAAUGUACCCGAGCUACAUAUUAAUGUAUCGAAUUUAUAUUUUAUCUUAAGAAAUUAACGUAAUUACAAAUUAAAAAGUGAUAGAUUGUAAUCUCAUAUUAAAACUAUGUGAUUACUAAAAAUUAUCGUAAGUUAUUUCAUCAUUUUAUUGCCUGUUGCAAAGAUCAAAAUGUUGAGGUAGAUAUAUGAUCAUAUAAAAGAGCAUAAGAUCAAAAAUAAUGAUACUCGAAAUAAAGUGAUAAUGAUUUUUAUGAUAGAAUUAAUAGAAGUGAUAGUGUUUUUUUUUCCAGAAAGAAGUGAUAGUUUAGAAACGUAGAAUUAAUGACUUUCACAUUAUAUAUUUUUAAUCUUGAAGUAGCUAAGAUUAUUCAAGAAAAUUAGGAUGUCACACUACUCAAAUUCAACAGGCGAUUAACUAUCUCGACUAAAGGCCUGUUUGGCUAUGCAAUAUAGAAUCAUGAUUAUCAUCAUAUGAUAUCAUAAUAUGAAAUUCUCAAAUGAAACGAAAGUUUUGUUUGGACAUGCGAUAUGAAAUUUUUGUGUUGUAUAAUUUCUUGUAAAACAUAAGAAUCUCACAAGUUGUAAAAAUAUUAAAAUAGCCUCAAUUGUUUAUUCAAUCUUAACAAAUAAACAAACAUUUAUAAAAUCGAAUACUAAAUUACUAAAAAGCUAUUUAUUCUCCACUUAAGUAAUUGUUUCAUCAAAUUUAAUUCAACAAAAGAAUUGAUCAUAAAUUAUAGUGAACUAGUCUUUAAUAUAAUUCUCCCACGUAAUACAUACAAUCUCCUCAUGUUGAACUGGAAUUUCUUGAUCAUAUGACUGAAACGAUCAAUCAAAAUUGUUACUUUGAGUCAUUUGUUGGUAUGCAAUUAUAUUUUCAUGCUCAUAGACAAUAAAUAUUCCAUCAUUCCUUUAAUAUUCUCGCAAAUAAUUAUGUAACGUUGCACAAGUCAAGAUACUUUCAGUUGUGUGUCAAUAUAAUAAUGGUUCAUUCCUUGUUUCAGUAUUAUGAAUCUAUUUUUCCAAGCUGUCACGACCCAAAUCGGGCCACGACUAGCACCCACACUUACCCUCCUGUGUGAGCGAACCAACCAAAUCUAAAUCUUAACAUUUCAAUGUACUAUCAACAUAAAGUAAUGCGGAAGACUUAAACUCAUUAAUAAAAACCAAUUCAAUAACUAUUAUUUCUCAAAAUCUGGAAGUCAUCAUCACAAGAACAUCUAGUCCAAAUUACUAAAUCUAAGAGUUUCUAAGAAGCAAAAAAUACAUGAAAGCUAGUCCAUGCCAGAACUUCAAGGCAUCAAGACAUGAAGAGGAAGAUCCAGUCCAAGCUAGAAGCAUUAGCUCACCCUGAUAUCCGGAGUAGUGAAGACUGGCUAGAGUUACUGUUGAGUCGAAGAUGACGGCACGUUUGCUGCACUCCACAAAUAACAAAGAAGAAAACAUAAAAGUAGGGGGUCAGUACAAACACAAGUACUGAGUAGGUAUCAUCGGCCAACUCAAAAUAGAAAACAGUAUAUACCAAGUAAUAUCAUAAAAUCAACUAUGAUACUCAACAUGUAGCAUUUACAAUUACCAUAACCCUUGGUUACAACACCAAGCUCGUCAAUGAGGACUCACGCCUCCUCAUCAUACUCAUUUGGGAUUUAGGUUCAUUAGAUUGAGUAUAUUAACAUCUUUCAGGAUUCAUUAUCUUUAUUUCUCUCGUGUCGGUACGUGACACUCCGCUCCUCAUAUACUAUCCUGGUGUCGGAACGUGACACUCCGAUCCUCAUAUACUAUCCUGGUACCGGAACGUGGCACGCAAUCCAUAUUCUAUCCUGGUGUCGGAACGUGACACUCCGAUCCUCAUAUACUAUCCUGGUACCGGAACGUGGCACCCGAUCCAUAUUCUAUUCUGGUGUCGGAACGUGACACUCCGAUCCUCAUAUACUAUCAUGGUACCGGAACGUGGCACCCGAUCCAUAUUCUAUCCUGGUGUCGGAACGUGACACUCCGAUCCUCAUAUACUAUCCUGGUACCGGAACGUGGUACCCGAUCCCCUAAUCUCCUUCUAUCAAUUCAUCAAGCCUUCUUUCUUACCAAAGACAUCAUCAAUCUCAUUAUUUUAGUUCAUUACGCCUUCUUUUAUACCAAGGCCUCAUCAUUAACAAAGAGAUUAGGGUUUUUCAAGAUUUGGGAUUCAAUAACUUCAUCAUGCUUAUAUAAUCACAAUUAUAUAAUUACAUUCAUGCAAGCAUACAAUUAAGCACAUAGCAGGGUUUACAACAUUAUCAAUACAUAUCAUUCGCUAUUAAGAGUUUACUACGAAUAUCGUAAGAGAAACCAUAACCUACCUCCACCGAAGACUAAUGAUCAAGCAAGAAUUUUCCAAAGCCUUGUGUUUUUCCUCUUCGUUCGUCUCUCUCUAUCGAUUCUCCUUCUCUCUCUUUCUGUUCUUUUCUUUUUCUUAUUCAAACCCUCUUUCUUUUACCCUAAUUAGCAUAUAAUUAAGAAUAAAAUGUGGCAAUAAUAACCCAUUAAUUAACUUAAGGUUACCUCUUUUAACCCCCAAGAAAUUUAGUCAUUAAUAUAAACCCACGAAAUAUAUAAUUAUAGCAGGAAUAGUCCAAAACGCCCCUUUAAAACUUAACCAGAAAUCUGACUCCGACUGGGAUUACGCAACCUGUGACGGCCCGUCGCGCCUGCGACGGUUCGUCAUGCAGGUUCGUCAGAGACUCGAUUUCCUUAAGGAGUCUGUGACGGCCCGUCGUACCUACGACGGUCCGUCCUGCACUUCCGUCACGACGUUCAGAGAAUCGUUCCCUGUACCAAAUUCUCAAGAGUUGAAGUGUUUUGAAACGGUGGAUCACGACGGUUCGUCGUGCCUGUGACGGUCCGUCCUGCAGGUCCGUCACAGAGUUCAGAGAGUCGAUUUUAGCACCCAAAUUUCAGAAUUUCUAAGUGUUUUGGGACGAGACACCCUCGACGGUCCGUCGUGCCCAUGACGUUCCGUCGUGGGUUCCGUCGUCUCAGCCUAUUUUUCCAGAAAUAAAAUCUGCUGCUCAAAAUGACUAAACAGGUCGUUACACAAGCUCCAAAAAUCUUUAGGGUUAUUUUAAUAAUAGAUAAACAUGUGCAUCAAUUGUGUAUUUAAAAAAUCUCAGAUGAUGAUAUGGAACUUUCAUACCAUAAUUUUUGGAGAAUACCAAAUUUCAUCUCAUGACAUGAGAUCAACAUGAAAUCGCAUGUUCAAACGCUGAUUACAUCUCACAAUUCUAUAUCGUGAUAUGAUAUGACCAAACGCCUACUAAGUCAAGAUUUUUUUUUAUAUAAAUAUAAUUUCUUUGCUAUUGAUUAUUGAUUAAUCCAUUAAAAAUGAAUUAUCCAAUAAAAAAUCGAAGACUCUUAUCAAGAUUUUGAACUAAUAAUCCAUUAGCAACAAAUUAACAACUUUAUUUAAAUAAUCAACUUUGCGUCAAUUAUAAAUAAUCCUAAGAUAAAUACAUAUUUUAAACUCACUCACAAAAAGUAAAUCACGUUAAGAUACAAUAGUUCGCAACAAAUAGAAGAAUACCGUGUAAACCCCUACUAAUAGAAAAUGGA